Camelina sativa (false flax) is the source of this 1165-nucleotide non-coding RNA. Lineage: Eukaryota; Viridiplantae; Streptophyta; Magnoliopsida; Brassicales; Brassicaceae. The record is from RefSeq and is a predicted model, not a curated record.
ACCAAUUGCCGGUUAUUGUUUCUUUACCGGUGGAGUCUAGUUCCUUCCGGUUUAUUUUAUAACUUUUGUACUUUGUUUUGCUUUUGCCAAAUAAUCUCAUCGGAUCUAUGGUUAGUGAUGACGCUUUAUCAUACGCGUUACAGUGGUUCUUCUCAGCCUAUGUCCUUUGAGUUUUUUUUCUUAGAUCUGAGUCGGUUCUUGUCUCUUAAAGAUGGGUUUUACCGGAUCGGUUUCUUAUCAACUCGGUUUGCAGAAUCGUUUCAAAGAGAUUUCGAUAUUUUGUUGAAGAUGGAAGUUUCUUCUGUUGCUUAUCUCAAUGCCUUAAGUUGUUACCUUUAAAUUGGAGCUUCAAUGUGUUCAAUUCGGUGGUAAACACAAGAGUCAUCGCACGAUUUCCUCUCGGCGAGGAUUUCUCACCGGAAUCGGCGCUCAACGGCUAAAGUUCUCGCCAGAAAUCUUUUGAUUACUCAUCAGUGAUAGCGAAAUUAUGAAGGUCGAUAUCAAUUAAAGACAAAUCUCGGCGUGAACGACAGAUGCAAUUAUCUCAUGGAGACCCGAUAACAACUUAUCGGACAUGAAUCAAUUUGAUCGCAUAGGUAAGAGAAUUUUAUCGUUAUUUGUUUUUAGUAAUUAUCGAUUCUUUUCAUCAAAUCGAAUUUUUAUUUGCGAAUAAGAGUUUGAUAUGAAAAUAGACUUCAAUGUUGCAUCUCUCAAAUGAUAUUUUUAAAUCUCCUCAUCGAUCUCCAAUCUCGCCUUCUCCAAUCUUCUCCAAUACUACUGGAUUGCUCGGUAAAUUUCGCCAUCGCCCAUUCAAGUGUUACGGUAGAGAUUUCAGUCCCAGCGAGCAUCAUUGCCUUCACAACAAAUCAGAGAAGAGUUGAUGAAGGCUUCAAAGAGUGUGGAAUUGUUCUCCUCUACUUUGGGGUAAGAUUGUUAUGUUUCAUUAAACCCUACAAAAAGCAGAUUCAAGAGAAACAAAACCACAUAAAAUUUGACUGCGAUACUUGAGAAAUCUGACUGUUAGAACUGCUAGAUAAUACGCGUUGAAAAAAAAAAAGAUGUAUAAGACGCAAAUUCUUCACAUUUUGACAAUUUUCAUUUUUGUCACAGAAACAAAAUUCAGGCUUCUUCAUUAUAGGUUGAGAGAUCUGUUUUUAUUUUUUUA